UACAGAGGUCUCAAGCGUUGUUCGGAUUCAUUGGGCGUAAAGGGUGCGUAGGUGGCGCGCUAAGUCAGGUGUGAAAUUUCGGAGCUUAACUCCGAAACUGCAUUCGAUACUGCGGUGCUUGAGGACUGGAGAGGAGACUGGAAUUCAUGGUGUAGCAGUGAAAUGCGUAGAGAUCAUGAGGAAGACCAGUGGCGAAGGCGGGUCUCUGGACAGUUCCUGACACUGAGACACGAAGGCCAGGGGAGCAAACGGG
RNAcentral lists this ribosomal RNA (253 nucleotides) under uncultured bacterium. Its description in RNAcentral is "partial 16S ribosomal RNA". It matches the Rfam family "Bacterial small subunit ribosomal RNA", at positions 524 to 776 of the family's 1533-position model. The record is from RNAcentral.